Molecule: ribosomal RNA, 414 nt
Filed under: uncultured bacterium
Lineage: Bacteria
Description: bacterial SSU rRNA
Rfam family: Bacterial small subunit ribosomal RNA
Source: RNAcentral
UGGGGAAUAUUGCACAAUGGGGGAGCCCUGAUGCAGCGACGCCGCGUGAGUGAAGAAGUAUUUCGGUAUGUAAAGCUCUAUCAGCAGGGAAGAAAGUGACGGUACCUGAGUAAGAAGCCCCGGCUAACUACGUGCCAGCAGCCGCGGUAAUACGUAGGGGGCAAGCGUUAUCCGGAUUUACUGGGUGUAAAGGGAGCGUAGACGGCGCUGCAAGUCUGGAGUGAAAGCCCGGUGCUUAACACCGGGACUGCUUUGGAAACUGUAACGCUGGAGUGCCGGAGGGGCAGGCGGAAUUCCUGGUGUAGCGGUGAAAUGCGUAGAUAUCAGGAAGAACACCAGUGGCGAAGGCGGCCUGCUGGACGGUAACUGACGUUGAGGCUCGAAAGCGUGGGGAGCAAACAGGAUUAGAUACCC